CGGGUAGUGGCUCAGCUUGGUAGAGCGCACGGUUCGGGACCGUGAGGUCGUGGGUUCAAAUCCCGCCUACCCGA
This 74-nucleotide transfer RNA is filed under the name Actinomycetes bacterium. RNAcentral's name for it is "Actinobacteria bacterium tRNA-Pro". It matches the Rfam family "tRNA". Rfam says of the family: Transfer RNA (tRNA) molecules are approximately 80 nucleotides in length. Their secondary structure includes four short double-helical elements and three loops (D, anti-codon, and T loops). RNAcentral also lists the same sequence under 1 other name. The record is from RNAcentral. Lineage: Bacteria; Bacillati; Actinomycetota; Actinomycetes.